Molecule: unclassified non-coding RNA, 652 nt
Filed under: Allium tripedale
Lineage: Eukaryota; Viridiplantae; Streptophyta; Magnoliopsida; Asparagales; Amaryllidaceae
Description: sequence contains ITS1, 5.8S rRNA gene and ITS2
Rfam family: 5.8S ribosomal RNA (bases 245-400)
Source: RNAcentral
UCGAGCCUCCCUUUAAUAGAUUGAGAUUGUGUAGAAUUACCCGUCAACUACAAGGUUGAUUUGUAAGUGCACUCUACCUUCUUGAUGGAUGUCCCAUCAUCGUCCUCGGCUUGCUUCAUUCGAAACAAGAAGGAAAUCGAAAAAACGACCUAGGUACGAUUUGUGCCAAGGAAGCCAGUUGUUUGAGUGCAAUGCCACCUUUUUGUUGUGCGUAGUGUUCGCCUAUUGGUGUGAGAUAUUGCAUGACUCUUGGCAGUGGAUAUCUUGGCUCUCGCAUCGAUGAAGAACGUAGCGAGAUGCGAUACUUGGUGUGAAUUGCAAAAUCCCGUGAACCAUCGAAUCUUCGAACGCAAGUUGCGUCCGAGACCUUCGGGUCAAGGGCACGUCUGCUUGGACGUCAUGCUUUGAGUCACUCCACGGUCCUCCCUUACACUAAACUGUUGUGUGAGUAUCAGUGUGCAUGGAUGUGGAUAUUGAUCCUUUGUGCUUUUGAGGUACGGUGGAUUUAAGUAGUGGAUAUCGCUAGGUUUGCAUUUGGUAAACGGUGGAUCUAGUAAAUGCUCGAAGCCUUCAUUUGCACACAUGAUUCCUAUACACGAUGUAUAGGAAGUAAAAUCCAUAACGAUGUUUGCGCUUUCAGCCAGAUCGGACC